Molecule: ribosomal RNA, 253 nt
Filed under: uncultured bacterium
Lineage: Bacteria
Description: partial 16S ribosomal RNA
Rfam family: Bacterial small subunit ribosomal RNA
Source: RNAcentral
UACGUAGGGGGCAAGCGUUGUCCGGAAUUAUUGGGCGUAAAGAGCGCGUAGGCGGUCCGAUAAGUCGGCUGUGAAAGUCAGGGGCUCAACCCUUGAAAGCCGGCCGAUACUGUCGGACUAGAGUCCGGAAGAGGCAAGUGGAAUUCCCGGUGUAGCGGUGAAAUGCGCAGAUAUCGGGAGGAACACCAAUGGCGAAGGCAGCUUGCUGGGACGGUACUGACGCUGAGACGCGAAAGCGUGGGGAGCGAACAGG